UCCAUUCCACUUGUGGUAUCAGAGAACUCAUUGCUACCUCUCGUCUCUCAGACCACCACAGUAGCAGGCCAAUGUCAAGCAGUUUCUUACACCCAGGAAUCAGAAACACUACGCUCCCAACAGGAUGAAGAAUAUUGCAGGUCCCUAUUAGCAGACCAACAGAAGGAAAUCAGGAAACGGGCCCUUGAGAAUAUCGAGGAAUGACGUAGAAGGGUUAGUUUAUAUGUAAAAGCUGUUUUUGUUUCAUUUUUUGCACUCUGUUAAUAACACUGACAGCUUUGUCUACAUGUAAGGCCAUUAAAGAACGAUGUCAG
Non-coding RNA from Paramormyrops kingsleyae, 314 nucleotides. Lineage: Eukaryota; Metazoa; Chordata; Actinopteri; Osteoglossiformes; Mormyridae. The record is from RefSeq and is a predicted model, not a curated record.